RNAcentral lists this ribosomal RNA (497 nucleotides) under uncultured bacterium. Its description in RNAcentral is "partial 16S ribosomal RNA". It matches the Rfam family "Bacterial small subunit ribosomal RNA", at positions 28 to 507 of the family's 1533-position model. The record is from RNAcentral.
GAUGAACGCUGGCGGCGUGCUUAACACAUGCAAGUCGAGCGAACGGACGCGAAGCUUGCUUCUUUCAUGUUAGCGGCGGGCGGGUGAGUCACACGUGGAUAACCUCCCUAUAAGUCUGAGAUAUCUACGGGAAUCCGGCUCUUACACCGGAUAAUAUUCUGAACCGCAUGGUUCAUAAGUGAAAUACGGCCUUGCUGUCUCUUCUAGAUGCAUCUGCGCUGGAUUAGCUAGUUGGUGGGGUAACGGCUUACGAAGGCGACGAUGCAUAGCCGACCUGAGAGGGUGGUCGGCCGCACUGGAACUGAGACACGGUCCAGACUCCUACGGGAGGCAGCAGUAGGGAAUCUUGCGCAGUGGGCGAAAGCAUGACGGAGCGACGCCGCGUGAGUGAUGAAGGUCUUCGGAUCGUAAAGCUCUGUUAUUAGGGAAGAACAGAUGUGUAAGUAGAUGUACACAGCUUGACGGUACCGGAUCAGGAAGCCACGGCUAACUACGUG